Molecule: long non-coding RNA, 214 nt
Filed under: Erythranthe guttata (spotted monkey flower)
Lineage: Eukaryota; Viridiplantae; Streptophyta; Magnoliopsida; Lamiales; Phrymaceae
Description: long non-coding RNA (EGUT_LNC003797)
Source: RNAcentral
UUCUCUACUAAUUUUUUAACUAAAUUUUUAACAAUUAUUAAUCUCCUGUUUUUCAUCAAUAUGUCUCAAAUCUUAAGAGAUAAAGCUAGAAAUUCGAUUUGUUAAAUCUUAGUCUAUUUAUUUGGAUUAUAAAUCUUAAUAUGUAAGAUUUAAAAAACUAAUGUUAUAUAAAAUAUGAAUAAUACUUACAUUAUUAAAUUUUACUAUAUUAGUU